This 253-nucleotide ribosomal RNA is filed under the name uncultured bacterium. RNAcentral describes it as "partial 16S ribosomal RNA". It matches the Rfam family "Bacterial small subunit ribosomal RNA", at positions 524 to 776 of the family's 1533-position model. The record is from RNAcentral.
GACGUAGGAGGCGAGCGUUAUCCGGAUUCACUGGGCGUAAAGCGCAAGUAGGCGGCCAACUAAGUCAGACGUGAAAUCCCUCAGCUUAACUGGGGAACUGCGUCUGAUACUGGAUGGCUUGGAUUUGGGAGAGGGAUGCGGAAUUCCAGGUGUAGCGGUGAAAUGCGUAGAUAUCUGGAGGAACACCGGUGGCGAAGGCGGCAUCCUGGACCAACAUUGACGCUGAGGAGCGAAAGCCAGGGGAGCAAACGGG